AGAGUUUGAUCAUGGUAAGAAGAACGCUAGCGAUAGGCCUAACACAUGCAAGUCGAGGGGCAGCACAUGAAGUAGCAAUACGGAUGGUGGCGACCGGCGCACGGGUGAGUAACGCGUAUGCAAUCUACCUACAACAAGGGAAUAACCCGUUGAAAAACGGACUAAUACCCUAUAAUACAGGGGUCCCGCAUGGGAAUAUUUGUUAAAGAUUUAUCGGUUGUAGAUGAGCAUGCGUUCCAUUAGCUAGUUGGUGAGGUAACGGCCCACCAAGGCAACGAUGGAUAGGGGAACUGAGAGGUUUAUCCCCCACACUGGUACUGAGACACGGACCAGACUCCUACGGGAGGCAGCAGUGAGGAAUAUUGGUCAAUGGACGCAAGUCUGAACCAGCCACGUCGCGUGAAGGAAGACGGCCCUACGGGUUGUAAACUUCUUUUGUAAGGGAAUAAAGUGCAGUACGUGUACUGUUUUGCAUGUACCUUACGAAUAAGGAUCGGCUAACUCCGUGCCAGCAGCCGCGGUAAU
RNAcentral lists this ribosomal RNA (525 nucleotides) under bacterium enrichment culture clone 25. RNAcentral's name for it is "bacterial SSU rRNA". It matches the Rfam family "Bacterial small subunit ribosomal RNA", at positions 1 to 524 of the family's 1533-position model. The record is from RNAcentral.